GACGAACGCUGGCGGCGUGCCUAAUACAUGCAAGUAGAACGCUGAAGAGAGGAGCUUGCUCUUCUUGGAUGAGUUGCGAACGGGUGAGUAACGCGUAGGUAACCUGCCUUGUAGCGGGGGAUAACUAUUGGAAACGAUAGCUAAUACCGCAUAACAAUGGAUGACCCAUGUCAUUUAUUUGAAAGGGGCAAAUGCUCCACUACAAGAUGGACCUGCGUUGUAUUAGCUAGUAGGUGAGGUAACGACUCACCUAGGCGACGAUACAUAGCCGACCUGAGAGGGUGAUCGGCCACACUGGGACUGAGACACGGCCCAGACUCCUACGGGAGGCAGCAGUAGGGAAUCUUCGGCAAUGGGGGCAACCCUGACCGAGCAACGCCGCGUGAGUGAAGAAGGUUUUCGGAUCGUAAAGCUCUGUUGUAAGUCAAGAACGAGUGUGAGAGUGGAAAGUUCACACUGUGACGGUAGCUUACCAGAAAGAGACGGCUAACUACGUG
RNAcentral lists this ribosomal RNA (497 nucleotides) under uncultured bacterium. Its description in RNAcentral is "partial 16S ribosomal RNA". It matches the Rfam family "Bacterial small subunit ribosomal RNA", at positions 28 to 507 of the family's 1533-position model. The record is from RNAcentral.